RNAcentral lists this ribosomal RNA (461 nucleotides) under uncultured bacterium. RNAcentral describes it as "partial 16S ribosomal RNA". It matches the Rfam family "Bacterial small subunit ribosomal RNA", at positions 338 to 795 of the family's 1533-position model. The record is from RNAcentral.
CCUAACGGGAGGCAGCAGUGAGGAAUAUUGGUCAAUGGGCUUACGCCUGAACCAGCCAAGUCGCGUGAGGGAAGACUGCCCUAUGGGUUGUAAACCUCUUUUGUCAGGGAGCAAUUGGCGCUACGUGUAGCGUUAUCGAGAGUACCUGAAGAAAAAGCAUCGGCUAACUCCGUGCCAGCAGCCGCGGAAAUACGGAGGAUGCGAGCGUUAUCCGGAUUUAUUGGGUUAAAAGGGUGCGUAGGCGGAAUGCCAAGUCAGCGGUAAAAUCGCGGGGCUAAACCGCGAUCCGCCGUUGAGACUGGCGUUCUUGAGUGGGCCAGAGGGAUGCGGAAUGCGUGGUGUAGCAGUGAAAUGCAUAGAUAUCGCGAAGAACUCCGAUUGCGAAGGCAGCAUACCGGCGCCCAACUGACGCUGAAACACGAAAGCGUGGGUAUCGAACAGGAUUAGAUACCCCAGUAGUC